RNAcentral lists this ribosomal RNA (441 nucleotides) under uncultured Hyphomonadaceae bacterium. RNAcentral describes it as "bacterial SSU rRNA". It matches the Rfam family "Bacterial small subunit ribosomal RNA", at positions 29 to 505 of the family's 1533-position model. Lineage: Bacteria; Pseudomonadati; Pseudomonadota; Alphaproteobacteria; Hyphomonadales; Hyphomonadaceae. The record is from RNAcentral.
AACGAACGCUGGCGGCAGGCUUAACACAUGCAAGUCGAACGAGAAAUAUUCUUCGGAAUAUGGACAGUGGCAGACGGGUGAGUAACGCGUGGGAAACUACCCUGUAGUAAGGAAUAACUGAUGGAAACGUCCGCUAAUACCUUAUACGCCCUUCGGGGGAAAGAUUUAUCGCUAUAGGAUGUGCCCGCGUUAGAUUAGCUAGUUGGUGAGGUAAAAGCUCACCAAGGCGACGAUCUAUAGCUGGUCUGAGAGGAUGAUCAGCCACACUGGGACUGAGACACGGCCCAGACUCCUACGGGAGGCAGCAGUGGGGAAUCUUGGACAAUGGGCGAAAGCCUGAUCCAGCCAUGCCGCGUGAAUGAUGAAGGCCUUAGGGUUGUAAAAUUCUUUCGCUAGGGAAGAUAAUGACGGUACCUAGUAAAGAAGCCCCGGCUAACUCCG